GAUGAACGCUAGCUACAGGCUUAACACAUGCAAGUCGAGGGGAAACGACAUCGAAAGCUUGCUUUUGAUGGGCGUCGACCGGCGCACGGGUGGGUAACGCGUAUCCAACCUGCCCAUCACUUGGGAAUAACCUUGCGAAAGUAAGACUAAUACCCAAUGAUAUCCCACGAAGGCAUCGGAAUGGGAUUAAAGAUUUAUCGGUGAUGGAUGGGGAUGCGUCUGAUUAGCUUGUUGGCGGGGUAACGGCCCACCAAGGCAACGAUCAGCAGGGGUUCUGAGAGGAAGGUCCCCCACAUUGGAACUGAGACACGGUCCAAACUCCUACGGGAGGCAGCAGUGAGGAAUAUUGGUCAAUGGGCGAGAGCCUGAACCAGCCAAGUAGCGUGCAGGAAGACGGCCCUAUGGGUUGUAAACUGCUUUUAUAAGGGAAUAAAGUGGGUCACGUGUGACUUUUUGCAUGUACCUUAUGAAUAAGGACCGGCUAAUUCCGUG
Molecule: ribosomal RNA, 492 nt
Filed under: uncultured bacterium
Lineage: Bacteria
Description: partial 16S ribosomal RNA
Rfam family: Bacterial small subunit ribosomal RNA
Source: RNAcentral